AAACGUACCUGGGAGGGGAGAAAAUCACUUGGUCAGGAAGGUGGUUUUCCCAGGGCGAGGCUUAUCUAUUGCACUUCGGCUGUGCUGACCCUUGUGAUUUCCCCAAACGUGGGAGGCUUGACUGCAUAACUUUUGAUAUUGGGGGACUGUGUUCACACUUUCCCCUG
Molecule: small nuclear RNA, 167 nt
Organism: Hyaena hyaena (striped hyena)
Lineage: Eukaryota; Metazoa; Chordata; Mammalia; Carnivora; Hyaenidae
Product: U1 spliceosomal RNA
Exons: 1
Source: RefSeq, a predicted model, not a curated record